GGGGAAUCUUGCACAAUGGGCGAAAGCCUGAUGCAGCGACGCCGCGUGCGGGAGGAAGGCCCUCGGGUUGUAAACCGCUUUCAGCAGGGACGAGGCGCGAGUGACGGUACCUGCAGAAGAAGCCCCGGCUAACUACGUGCCAGCAGCCGCGGUAAUACGUAGGGGGCGAGCGUUAUCCGGAUUCAUUGGGCGUAAAGCGCGCGUAGGCGGCCUGUUAGGUCGGGAGUCAAAUCCGGGGGCUCAACCCCCGCCCGCUCCCGAUACCGGCGGGCUUGAGUCUGGUAGGGGAAGGUGGAACUCCAAGUGUAGCGGUGGAAUGCGCAGAUAUUUGGAAGAACACCGGUGGCGAAGGCGGCCUUCUGGGCCACGACUGACGCUGAGGCGCGAAAGCUAGGGGAGCGAAC
Molecule: ribosomal RNA, 404 nt
Filed under: uncultured bacterium
Lineage: Bacteria
Description: bacterial SSU rRNA
Rfam family: Bacterial small subunit ribosomal RNA
Source: RNAcentral